CAAGCAGAAUCUGCAGCGGUUGGCAAAUUUAGCUGCUGCUUUGUUUCGCUUCCCUCCCCUCAGUCUGUGUUUGCCAGUUGUCUGCGCUCAGCCAGUAGCUGUUUUAUGCUGUGGGUUUGCAUUGACCGACCUGCAGCCUCAGUCUGUGAGUAUUUUCGUCUGGGAGCUACCUGCAAACUCUUUGCUGCUCUUCUGUUGUACUCAUCUCCAUGGCAGCCAAAUAUCCUACACCUCUGCUGCAUCACACAAGGCACGUCCCAUAUUUAGAGGUCUAUGGAGUACGCAUGUCUGCUCUUACCAGGACUUUUUCUGAGGGCUUGAAGGACAUGGACCCUUUAUACAGCAUAUGAUCCUGUACUAUUCACUGUCCUGGACAGAUGCCUGGUGUUGUAAAGGGGGAUAGUGAAGACUUGGUCUUGGGACAGUCAUCUACACUUGAGAAUAUCCCAUUUCAUCUGAGAAGAAAGUUCUAUAAGCAUAAUUCCUCACUGAAGGUGGCCGAGAGCUGUGCAGGCUGGCAUGAUG
This is a long non-coding RNA of Strigops habroptila (Kakapo), 525 nucleotides long. RefSeq lists it as uncharacterized. The transcript has 3 exons. NCBI's taxonomy places the organism in Eukaryota, Metazoa, Chordata, Aves, Psittaciformes, Psittacidae. The record is from RefSeq and is a predicted model, not a curated record.